UACGGAGGGUGCAAGCGUUAUCCGGAUUUACUGGGUUUAAAGGGUGCGUAGGCGGGUUGGUAAGUCCGUGGUGAAAUCUCCAAGCUUAACUUGGAAACUGCCGUGGAUACUAUCAAUCUUGAAUAUCGUGGAGGUAAGCGGAAUAUGUCAUGUAGCGGUGAAAUGCUUAGAUAUGACAUAGAACACCAAUUGCGUAGGCAGCUUACUACACGAUCAUUGACGCUGAGGCACGAAAGCGUGGGGAGCAAACAGG
Molecule: ribosomal RNA, 253 nt
Filed under: uncultured bacterium
Lineage: Bacteria
Description: partial 16S ribosomal RNA
Rfam family: Bacterial small subunit ribosomal RNA
Source: RNAcentral